Molecule: non-coding RNA, 3901 nt
Organism: Heterocephalus glaber (naked mole-rat)
Lineage: Eukaryota; Metazoa; Chordata; Mammalia; Rodentia; Bathyergidae
Source: RefSeq, a predicted model, not a curated record
GGAGGAAGAAUAUGAUGUGCUUGCCUUUCAGACAGGUUAAGCUCAAGGGUACAAUGAUCUCAGACAUUUAAGAAUUUUUAUUUUAGAUGUUUCAAUUUCUUUGUUUUCUUUCUUUCCAUUGGGAAAACAUUUUAUGGUUCUGUCUACAGGGCUUUACUGUUGUUCACUUCUGUUCCUCUCCCCUCGUUUCCGUAACACGGUACGGACUGCCACUUCACGUCCGGUCAGCAUUUUUACUGCCCCAGUCUCCAUUUGCUCAACACUCCCUCUCUCCCAAAGCUCUGUUGAGGGGUGUGUUAACCCUGAAGGCCUGGGCCUUCAAAAAGUACCAUCUAUAGAUAUCCUCUUAUGACUUCACAAUCUCCAUAUUCUUCUCCAACUGCUCACCUACCUACAUUCCAGUCUGAUCAUUCCAGGGGCCGGGGGAAUACCAUGAUAUACACUUUGUAUCUGCAAGCUGGGCAAAUGACUCAACUUACAGACAGACAGAGUGAGACUCAGUGUGUUUAGAGCCAGGAACAACCGGUGAAACCUCCCACACCCACCAUUGAGUGUGGACCUGAAGUAACUCAAGCCUCCCGGCCUCCAGGAACUGGCCCCUACCUGCUCCACAUGUUGAGGCCAGCUCAAUGACCAGAAACUCACCUUUCAUUCUAGCCCACUGGGAUCAGCCAAGGUCUUCUGAAUAAAAACGACUCUGGAAUGCCGGUGAGGACAGUGAGGGGAGGCCUACAGAGUCUCCUGCUAAAAAGGUGUAGUACGGCCCACUAAGAUGGGGCCAAAGACUGAGGUCUGAGUACAGAAGUCGAAGUUCUUACACAGCACGUUUAAGUGCAGGUGAAAGGAAUCAGACUAGAAAUAAAGAAACCCAAGUUCCAAAUGGCUUUAAAAUAAAGUACUUUAAACUUGGCCACACCUCAGCAGACUCAACAGUGGACUCAACAGCUAACCCUCCUCAGUUCGCCUGCCACUCGCACCCUGCUACCUCAUCCACGACCCUGCCAACACUCGCUUCGAUGGGAAUUUCUGUUGCUAAAGGCCAAGUGGCUUGUUUUAGGUAUAUUAUUAAUUGGUUCCAUGGAAAAACAGGUUUGAUUCUUUAACUGUUCGACUUGCCAAGUUAUCACUCAGCCGUAGCUCACAGAAAAAUUAGACUGAAAUCCAUGAGGCAGUGCCUGAGCAGAUGCCGGUGUGGACUGGGGGAGAGGAGUCUGAGCCCUGGGUCACCAGAAGCUUCAGGAAGGGGACCAUAUCCUCACAGGCACCCGUGACAUCUAUCCAAAUGUGUAAGAAUCUGGCUUUAGAGCAGUUUAAGAGUUCCACAAAACAAGGGAGUUGCUCGUGACCACGAGCGUUUUUGACCACAGGACUUCUGGCCAGUAAGAGUUAAAGCCACUUUUAACACAGCACAGGCCUGAGAUCUCAAUUACUUAAAAAUCAGCGAUGACCUGGUCUGAGAGUAGGACCAACCGCAUUAUCACAAAGUAAAAAGAAUAUGUGAGUUUGUACAUUCACUUUAAAAAGCCUGUAAGUUGCCUGUCUGCAUAACCCUGGGUUAAGAGCAGAGGAUUUUGAGAUGAAGCAAAAAUAAACUCUGCCUCAAAGGGCUCAUCACUGGGGAAAGGCAGUAAACAAGAUAAUCACAAUAACAGUGUGAGAAGUACUAAGCACUGCUCUGGUGGCUCUGAGGCCAAGACUGAGCAGCUACUACUCCUUCAUUUCUACCUGGUAGAUAAAACACAGAUGGUGGGAGUGCCUGCCCUGCCUUGCCAGUGUGCACUGCUGCUGACUAAGCCUCAGGUCCAGGGCCAAGUCCCCUCUUCACCCCCGCAAGUGGCCUUCUCACCACGUGGUGGUCAAGACAGCAAAGUGUGAGCUCCUCAGGGGUCCUGAGGGGAGGCUAAGGGCAAGCCUGGUGCCUCCCCCAGUUUUGAGUUUGGCUUUCUGUUUUCCCUGGGAAGGGAUGAACUCUCUGGCCAGAAACCUCACCCUCUCCUCCACUAGCUCCUUCUUCUUGGGCUCAAGAUUCUCUCAUCCCCAAAACUUGCCUCCUGGACCACCACCCCUAGCAGCUGUGGCCCACUCAUUCCUUCCCAAAUUCUCGAAAGUCAUCUAGCUCUGUAGCCUGCUCACACAUGGCUUCCACCUACACCCAUGUUUCUUUCCCACUCCAGCAAGCAGCUCUCUGACCGGUAUGGGAGCGCUGCUUUCCACUCAGUUCCCCGCCACUCCGGCCCUUCCAAAGCCUGCCCCUGCCUGCCUCCCUGGAGCCCUCUGUCCAGGCCCUCAUCUGACCCUUUGCUGCUUAGCGGUUUCCAUCAGGAGUCUUCUGCCCUCAUCCUCUGCUGGCCUUCCCCAGAGCUGUUUUCAGUCACAGGUCAGUCAGUCUGUGGGAAUUCCACCAGCCCUGUGGCUUUGGGGCCCCACUGUGUCUGUCAUGAGCUUUAGUUUCCCUUUUUUUUUUUUGUUUACUUACCUAUAUCACCAUUUACUUUAUCAUAUAAACACCUCAAACUCAAUAUAUUCAAACUCAUUUUCUUUCUUCCAAAUUCUAGUCCUCUUCUUUAAUUUCUAGUUCCUCCUCAGCUAACGAGCUAGGAAUUAUACAGCAAUCUGCAAUUCCUCCCUCUCCCUCACCCCCGAAAUCCGAGUGUUCACCGUGUCCUGAUUCUACUCCGAAAUAUUUCUAGAAUCUGUCCUUUCCUCUCCCUCCCUACUCCCACUGCUUUACUACCUUGCAAUCUUUUGCCUGAACUAGCUACCAAAGUGGUUUCUGGGCCCAGCCUCCUCCGCUGGCUCCUUCCUAUUCAUUCCCACCUUGCCCUCAGCCCGGAAGUGUACCGAGGCCCUCCCACACCCCUGCUCCACAGCCUUCCAGCACCCACCAUCAGAAAUGGAACGCAUUUUGAACAACUGGUCCCCAAGGCUCUUCACAAUCAGGUUUGCCAAAUAAACUUACCAGCCUCUCUGCAGCAAGGUGGAGUCAUAUGACUAAAUCGUGGCCACUGGCUUUUGUAAGAGAGGGAUGCAUUUCACUUCCAGACCUGACCCUGAAAUGCCUGACAUGCCAGCUGCAAGUACAGGGUGUAGUAGAGGAUGCAGAGGCCACAGGGAAUGUUGGAAUUACUGUGGAUGGAGAGGAGCCUGGGUCCCAGAGGGCCCCAUGAGGCAGGCCGCCUCCCCACCUUCCCAUCCCCACUUAACUGGUGUCACAAGAAAUAAACUUUUACCAUGUUAGCCAGAGGUUAGGAGCCAUUUGUUGUCGGUGUUAGACUUUCCUAAUAUAGCCUCCAUUUCAAUGUGCACGUGUGCGUGUGAGCGUGUAUGCGUGUGUGUGUGUGUGUGGUGCAGUCAGAGCUGGGGGUCAGAGGAGGGUCUAUUCGUGCAUUUGUAGAGGAGUGAGGAGGUUGUGGUGAUAAAAUGGCAUCAGGAGGAUCCUCCUAGUGGUGGAGUUGUUCUACCUCUUGAUUCCGUUAAUGUCAGUAUCCUGCUUGUUGAUAACAGACUACAGUUGUUCCAGAUAGUCCCAUCGAGGGGAAAUAUACACAGAUCUCUCUGUAUUAUUUAUUAUACCUACAUGCGAUUUAUAAUCACCUCAAAAUUAAGUUCUUAAAACCCACAAAAGGCUAUAGAGUAAAUAUGGAGUAAUAUUAACAAAACCAUGGAAGGUAGUUUCUCUCUUGUUUUUGGAAGACAGACAUAAAAUGGCCUCAGGCACAGAGGAAUCCUUAGGCUCAGAUGUGUAACUCAAUGCCAACCUUUUUACCUUUUUUUUUUUUUAACCUUAAAAAUAAGGACAAUACCUGCCCACCUAUUUCAUGAGGUUUUAGGGAGAUCAAAUUAAAUGAGGUGAUAAAUGGGAAAGUAUUUUGAGCAAAUGCUGAUUUUUUUUUUUUUUUUU